This 346-nucleotide ribosomal RNA is filed under the name uncultured bacterium. Its description in RNAcentral is "bacterial SSU rRNA". It matches the Rfam family "Bacterial small subunit ribosomal RNA", at positions 8 to 350 of the family's 1533-position model. The record is from RNAcentral.
AGAGUUUGAUCAUGGCUCAGGAUGAACGCUAGCUACAGGCUUAACACAUGCAAGUCGAGGGGCAGCAUUUAGUUUGCUUGCAAACUAAAGAUGGCGACCGGCGCACGGGUGAGUAACACGUAUCCAACCUACCGAUAACUCUGGAAUAGCCUUUCGAAAGAAAGAUUAAUACCGGAUAGUAUACGAAUAUCGCAUGAUAUUUUAUAAGGAAUUUCGGUAUCGAUGGGGAUGCGUUCCAUUAGUUGUUGGCGGGGUAACGGCCACCAAGACUACGAUGGAUAGGGGUUCUGAGAGGAAGGUCCCCCACAUUGGAACUGAGACACGGUCCAAACUCCUACGGGAGGCA